UAACACGUGGAUAACCUACCUAUAAGACUGGGAUAACUUCGGGAAACCGGAGCUAAUACCGGAUAAUAUAUUGAACCGCAUGGUUCAAUAGUGAAAGACGGUUUUGCUGUCACUUAUAGAUGGAUCCGCGCUGCAUUAGCUAGUUGGUAAGGUAACGGCUUACCAAGGCAACGAUGCAUAGCCGACCUGAGAGGGUGAUCGGCCACACUGGAACUGAGACACGGUCCAG
Molecule: ribosomal RNA, 229 nt
Filed under: uncultured Staphylococcus sp.
Lineage: Bacteria; Bacillati; Bacillota; Bacilli; Caryophanales; Staphylococcaceae
Description: partial 16S ribosomal RNA
Rfam family: Bacterial small subunit ribosomal RNA
Source: RNAcentral